GAACGUUUGUUUUUUUCUGUCAUUAUAGAUGCUAGUUUGGUGAAAGUUCACACUGAGUGCUUCAAAUCAUUCAGAAGAGAUGCUGUUUUUAGGGCAGUUUAUUAAAGAAGACCUGACAUGCAUGACUCCCAAUGAGAAACGACUGCUAAUACUUAUAUAAAUUCAUUACAGAAGGACCCUACCAGACUAUAUUUGAAUACGGCAUACCCAUGAAUUCUGGAACUGUUAUUCCUUAACCCAGUUUGGAGGAUAAGAGCUUACCAACUAGUUAUAAAUAUGCUGAGGUGAUGUAUUGCAAAAUAGCCAACAUACAACAAUAUGGAUGACCCUCUGUCUGGUCAACAGGAGUUUAAAUAUGGACGGGACAGUGAUGUGGCAGCUCUUCCCUGGCUCAUUCACCUCUUGCCUUUCAUUUGUGAAAGGAAGAAAGAAGAAUAACUGGAGAGGGUCAAUGUGCAACUGAAGCUACUGAUUGUGCUAUGUGAUGAGCAUCAAUCCAUGCUUUGAGGGGAAUGAAUCAGCACAGCCCUGCCUGCACUGCGUUGGGAACAGAAGUUGCAUCCAGAAUUUUUGCAUCAUUCUGGACCAAAAAGCCAUUCCCUCCAUGAUGAAGACCACUGAUGCAGCCUACCACUACAUCAUGAGUAAAACAACUACAGAACUAAAUACCAGGUUGGAACGUAUUUAAGAAAAAUGAAACGUCUUUUGAAUUGAAAUGUCUGUUUUGUUAUGGAAAAAUCUUUAGUAUUGUGAAGGAUAAGCAUUUCUGCCUGCCAGUAAGGUAAUUGCAGUGUAUUUUAAUGUUCAAGUUUUGAGUAGGGUGGCUAAUUUUUUUUUAACUCAUUUGAUUUAUUAAAGACCUUAUAAUAAGUGGUUUUCAUGUCACUGCGCUGUGGUAUAAGAUAACUUUCAUUAUUCCAUACUGUAUUCUGUUUUCUAAUUGUAGCUGAGGUAUUUAAAUAAGCAGUGUUAAAUGCAAAGUGUUGUGUGUAUCAAUGUAAAUAUUAAAUGUGAUGUACUUUAAUAAAAAGAGGUUUUGCAAUA
Non-coding RNA from Paramisgurnus dabryanus, 1044 nucleotides. NCBI's taxonomy places the organism in Eukaryota, Metazoa, Chordata, Actinopteri, Cypriniformes, Cobitidae. The record is from RefSeq and is a predicted model, not a curated record.